RNAcentral lists this unclassified non-coding RNA (21 nucleotides) under Dictyostelium discoideum. The record is from RNAcentral. Lineage: Eukaryota; Evosea; Eumycetozoa; Dictyosteliales; Dictyosteliaceae.
UCCCUUUCAGACUUUACACUC